GGGGAAUAUUGGACAAUGGGCGCAAGCCUGAUCCAGCCAUGCCGCGUGUGUGAAGAAGGCCUUCGGGUUGUAAAGCACUUUUGUCNGGGAGGAAGUGCAGUNGGUUAAUACCCUGNGGNGAUGACGUUACCNNCAGAAUAAGCACCGGCUAACUCCGUGCCAGCAGCCGCGGUAAUACGGAGGGUGCAAGCGUUAAUCGGAAUUACUGGGCGUAAAGCGCGCGNAGGNGGUUNNUUAAGUCNGAUGUGAAAUCCCCGGGCUCAACCUGGGAACUGCAUUUGAAACUGGCGGGCUAGAGU
RNAcentral lists this ribosomal RNA (299 nucleotides) under gamma proteobacterium SCGC AAA024-J17. RNAcentral's name for it is "partial 16S small subunit ribosomal RNA". It matches the Rfam family "Bacterial small subunit ribosomal RNA", at positions 356 to 647 of the family's 1533-position model. The record is from RNAcentral. Lineage: Bacteria; Pseudomonadati; Pseudomonadota; Gammaproteobacteria.